This is an RNA transcript of Jaculus jaculus (lesser Egyptian jerboa), 1469 nucleotides long. It is a transcript of the gene named pyroglutamyl-peptidase I, with no coding region annotated. Lineage: Eukaryota; Metazoa; Chordata; Mammalia; Rodentia; Dipodidae. The record is from RefSeq and is a predicted model, not a curated record. The transcript is spliced from 6 exons.
GCGGCGCGGUGCCUGGUCGGCUGUGGUUCCACGGCGGGGGCGAUCGGGUCCGAGGCGCGUCGGAACCCGACAUGGAACAGCCUCGGAAGGCGGUAGUGGUGACCGGGUUUGGCCCAUUUGGGGAGCAUACUGUGAACGCAAGCUGGAUUGCUGUCCAGGAGCUCGAGAAGCUAGGCCUUGGGGACAGCGUGGACCUGCAUGUGUAUGAGAUCCCGGUGGAGUAUGAAACAGUGCAGAGGCUCAUCCCUGCACUGUGGGAGAAGCACAGCCCACAGCUGGUGGUGCAUGUCGGGGUGUCGGGCAUGGCGACCACAGUCACACUGGAGAAAUGUGGCCACAACAAAGGCUAUAAAGGACUGGACAACUGCCGCUUCUGCCCCGGCUCACAAUGCUGCGUGGAGGAUGGGCCCGAAAGCAUUGACUCCGUCAUCGACAUGGAAGCCGUGUGCAAGAGAGUCACCACGCUGGGUCUGGAUGUGUCGGUGACCAUCUCCCAGGAUGCUGGCAGGUACCUGUGUGACUUCACCUACUACACGUCGCUGUACCGCAGCCGUGGCCGCUCAGCCUUCGUCCAUGUGCCCCCGCUGGGCAAGCCCUACAAUGCCCACCAGCUGGGCCGUGCACUGCGGGCCAUCAUUGAGGAGAUGCUGGAUGUCCUGGAGCAGUCCGAAGGCAAGAUCAGCUACUGCCACCAACACUGACAGCUACCAGACCCCAUGUCCCCAGGAAGACUUCCAGGAGACACUUCCCAUGCGGGUCCAAAUGAAAGGCCAAUGGACACACCUGCUGUUCUCUUGCUCAGCUACAAGCAGUAGCUGGAAUUGAACCAGAUACUCUACCUCAGCGCCGUGUCUCCAGCCCACAAAUAUCCUCUUUUGUUUGUUUAGUUUUGCUUUUUUUGCACAGUGGCUGUGAGGGCCAGGAGUUAGCCAACGUUCACGUGGGAAAGCUAAAUCUUGAAUGGAGGCUAAGCACAACUGUCCAAGGAGGCUGUUCCAGCACUCUGGGGUGGAACAACAGAAUCAGGAGUUCAAGGUCAUCCUCAGCUACAAGGUGAAUUCAAGGCCAGUCUGCAAGACAGGAGGCCCUGCCUCAAAAAACCCAAGAGCAGGGGUUGGAGAGAUGACACAGUGGUUAAAGGUGCUUGUUUGCAUAGCCUGCCAGCCUGGGUCCAAUUUUCCAGCCACCCACAUAAAGCCAGACCACCAAAAGUACUGUCUGAAUUUGGCAUUUGUUUGUAACAAUGAGAACACCUGAUAACCCCUUCUCCAACACUUGAAAUCAAUCUCUAUAUAUUUUAAACAGAAUGCAACCCUAAAGCGAGAGGCCUGAUGGCUUACACCGUUAUUCCGGCACUUGCUUGGGAAGCUGAGGUGGAAGUGCCUUGAGUUCAAGGCCAGGCUGGGACUCUGAAACCCUGUCCCACCCCCCCCAAAUUUUUUUUUAAUUUUAAAAAGACACCUUGUGAA